RNAcentral lists this long non-coding RNA (4249 nucleotides) under Lynx pardinus (Iberian lynx). Lineage: Eukaryota; Metazoa; Chordata; Mammalia; Carnivora; Felidae. The record is from RNAcentral.
GGCCUGCUCCCUUCCACCAUGGCCGCCCAAGGCUACGGCUAUUACCGCGCUGUGAUCUUCUCAGCCAUGUUUGGAGGCUACAGCCUGUACUACUUCAACCGCAAGACCUUCUCCUUUGUCAUGCCAUCGUUGGUGGAGGAGAUCCCUCUGGACAAGGACGACUUGGGUGAGCCACGGAAGGGCAGGGUGGUGGGCCCUGGGACCCAGGACCCGUAGGACAAGUUGGUGUUGGUGGCAGUGUUGUGCAUAAAGGCACGUAGCGUGUGUGGAGCGUCUGCACAGUGGAGGGUAGGGAGAGUCGGCACACGCCGACCGGACUCUGAAAACCAUACGCCUGGCUGUGGGCUAAGCACCAGGAGUGUCGUCGAUACGCGUCUGAGGAGGGCUGCCUAUGUGAUGUGUCUUUGUGUGCCUGUGACCCACACGUGCCCCCACAGGUCUGGCUUAUUCCGAGUAUGUUUAGGGGGCUUCUGGGCAUGGUUUCCACACCUCGUGGGUGCGUGCUAAGACCACAGGGUGCACGCUGGCCACUGACGUCGUAAGCAAUGGGAACUGGAGACUUGGCACAGAAACUUCACGUGGCCCCGCACGCUACAUUUCAGGGGGAAUAACGUCCUUGAUUCCAAUUCUAAGCUCUUUGCCCCAUGCCCAGAGGUGGGGGUGACGGAACUGCUAGAAGCCCUGGGUCGGCAUCCAGGGUGAGGAGGAAAUGUAAUCAGGCAUGGGUAGAUCCCAGGGUGGGGCUGCCCUGUUCUCCCCUUCUUGCCCCCUGACAGCUGCAGCUGGAACUCUCCAGGUUGAAAAGUCAAGGGUCAGCCUGGGGCUAGCGCCGGCGGUGAGGAGGGGUAGCGGCGCCCCUGAAAGGGUGCUGGGAUUCCAACACAGGCUGCUUCUGGUCCCCUUGGAAGGAACCUAUCUCACCCUGCCAGGCACCUCUACACACGUGACCCCAUGCCUUCCUCCAUCCCUCCUGUGCCCUUGCCCUGGCCCCUAACCCCCUAGGUGUGCUGCUUCCUGCUCCCCUCCCCUGCAGGGCUCAUCACCAGCAGCCAGUCGGCAGCCUACGCCAUCAGCAAGUUUGUGAGCGGGGUGCUGUCUGACCAGAUGAGUGCCCGCUGGCUCUUCUCUUCUGGGCUGCUUCUGGUCGGCCUGGUCAACGUAGUCUUUUCCUGGAGCUCCAUGGUACCUGUCUUUGCUGCUCUCUGGUUCCUCAAUGGCCUGGCACAGGGGCUGGGCUGGCCUCCCUGUGGGAAGAUCCUGCGGAAGGUGAGUGUCUGCUCCCAAGAAGCCAGUUGAGACUGGCCGAGGGGAUACCUACAGGGCAUGUGGGAGUACCAGCACUCCCAUCCCCGAGCGGGUUCCUCGGGAGUUCCAGUCCAACUCCUGUUGCUCGUCGAGAUAUUUUAGGAGCUAAACAUGGUGGGAUCAGGUGGCAGAUGAGGGAAUUGGCCCUGCCAAGUAGAGGCGCCCUCUUCCUCGUCCCUGUAAUGUGAGCUUCUAGGUCUGCCCCUGCCCCACCUGACCCUCACCUUCAACAUGUUUAAUGUGGGCACCUACUCUGAACCCUCUGCCCCACAGUGGUUUGAGCCAUCUCAGUUUGGCACCUGGUGGGCCAUUCUGUCAACCAGCAUGAACCUGGCUGGAGGGCUGGGCCCUAUCCUGGCAACCAUCCUCGCCCAGAGCUAUAGCUGGCGCAGCACGCUGGCCCUGUCUGGGGCGCUCUGUGUAGUUGUCUCCUUCCUCUGUCUCCUGCUCAUCCACAAUGAACCCGCUGACGUUGGGCUCCGGAACCUGGACCCCGCCCCCUCCAAGGACAAGAAGGGUGAGCACGCACCCAGGCCGAAUCACUGGGGCACCUUCAUCCACCAUUCAUUUGGCAGACUUUCAUUGAGGUCUGGCUGUAUGCCUGGCCCUGUGCUAGCCGAUGGAGGCAGGGGGAGGGAUGGUGGUGGCAAGUUGGUGGGGAGUAAAUAAAACUCCGUUCCAAGAGACACUUAAGUACCAGACAAGCGGCAGAGCCAACAAAUGCUGUGUGACUCAUGUUAUAUCCCGGUCCUUCCUCACAGCAGAGCCAGACUUCCCUGUCCUGUCCUGGACAGCAUCCUAAGCUUAAGUGGCUUGGGUGCCUUCCUCCAUGUGCCCUGGUCCCGGUUUCAUUUGCUGAGGCCUGUAGUGGAGGGGACAGGGUAGAACAGUGGGUGAAGGGGUGCCUUCCUGCUGGUCCCUGGCUGUGUGGAUGGACUGUGGCCCUGUGGCUGGUUAAUGAGUGGUGGGGGCUCAGUCGGGGCAGAGCAGCAAGAGUGGAGCCUCAGGCCUGGCCUCCUCCUGCCCCCAGGCUCCUCGAAGGAGGAGAGUACUCUACAGGAGCUGCUGCUGUCCCCCUACCUGUGGGUACUCUCCACGGGCUACCUCGUGGUAUUUGGAGUAAAGACCUGCUGUACUGACUGGGGCCAGUUCUUCCUCAUCCAGGAGAAAGGACAAUCCGUCCUCGUGGGUAAGAUGAGUUUGGAACAGGGGUGGGCCUAGGGAGCAGGAGUCAAUGAAAGGGAUGGGAAGUUCAGGCCCAGCUUCUCUUUAUCCCUUCCUUCUUUCCCUGAGGCCAGGCACUACUCAGACAGCUGUGGUCGGUCACCCUUGGGGACCCUGUACCUCUCUGGGUUUAAGCCAGUCUGGGACAACCCCAGUGUGUAACACCCACCCUUCCUUUCCCUCUUCCCACCACAACUCCCUACUCCAGGUAGCUCCUACAUGAGUGCCCUGGAGGUUGGGGGCCUUGUAGGCAGCAUCGCAGCUGGCUACCUGUCAGACCGGGCCAUGGCAAAGGUGAGUGGGCAGACGGGACAGGAAGGAGGAGGGUCCCUUUAAACCUUCCCAGCGUGACUGGGACAGGCACCAGAGAGGCGGGAGCCCUGGGGCACGGGCAGGCUGGCAUAAGCCAGUUUAGGUUGGGGGAGGUUGGAAUGAUUCCAGGCUGCCGUUAUUCGCUGGGGGUGUGAAGGUUAAGACUCCUGGGGAAAAGGCUUUAAAUGAUGUCAAGGAGAGCUGGAAUGUCUCUCAGCCUGGCAGUGGGCUUCUCCACAGCCCCAGGAAAACUGGGGUUGAGGAGGAAGCAAGUGCAGCUUGCCAGCACAUGUCCCGACCCUGCCCCGUGGUGGAGGAAGGGAUGUUGUGGAGUUUGGCCUCUGAACACAACGAGCAGGUCCCGGGGCCUCCCAGAGCUGCCCGGGGCCAAGAGCUGUGGUGGGAUUGCCAAAGACCUGUCAGCAGAGGCCCUGCUGUAUCAGAGUCCAGGGGUGGAGGUUCUCUGCUGCUUUUAGGCCCUGACAUUGCUGGGACUGUAUCCACAGGCAGGCCUAUCCAUCUACGGGAACCCUCGCCAUGGCCUGUUGCUGCUCAUGAUGGCUGGCAUGACCGUGUCCAUGUACCUCUUCCGGGUCACUGUGACCAGUGACUCCUCCAAGGUAAAUAAGGAGGGCCUGGCCCACAGCAGGCACAAGGAUGAGAAAGCAAGGGCCGCCGACUCUCAGGCUUCCUCUCCCUGGCUCCACCCUGGCCCAGGCCUUUCUUUGCCUCUCAGAUCUCCCUUUCCAGGUCUGUCUUACCUCGUGUCCUCUUUGUACUUCGGUGCCCCUCCUGGACUCGGGACUUGGUUUCCUUUUCUUUCCUGUGCUCCUCUAGGAUGUUGCUUUCUGGACUCCAGCUCUUCACCCUCUCGCUGAGCUCACAGGCUUUACGGAGCACGAGGUGCCUUAUCUCUGGUUUUCUUCCUGGUUUGUCUUACCCUUGUCCUACUGUCUUCCUCGCCCCUAGCCAAUCCAGCUAGCAUGAGUUCUGAGAAGAGAUAGCAUCUAACUUGGAGGGACGGCUUCUGUACCUCCUUCACCUACCCACACAGGCCCUCGGGUUGGCUCGGUGUGGCACUCACUCCUCUAGCUCUGCCCUGUCCAUUGUAUCAGAAAGUGGGGUGAGGGAGGUCAUUUCCUGUGUCCUUAACUACAGUUAUUUGUUCUGUCCUCUGGCAGAGGUAGAUAGGUAGGUAGGCUCUCUCAAACUCUGAAUGCCACUCUGUGCUGCCCUUGCAGCUCUGGAUCCUGGUGUUGGGAGCCCUGUUCGGUUUCUCCUCCUACGGUCCCAUUGCCUUGUUCGGAGUUAUAGCCAAUGAGAGUGCUCCUCCCAACUUGUGCGGCACCUCCCAUGCCAUUGUGGGACUCAUGGCCAACGGUAAGCGGAGUCUCCACCUCACCCCUAC